CCUUAUUCUCAUUUACGGCCGUAUCCGUAUAUUCAUUCGUCGGAUACGAUACGUCGUCAAAGGAAUAGCUAUUCUGAUUUACGGCCGUAUUUCUGUGUACUAGAUUUAUCUGGACAUACUGAUUUAUCGACAUCGAUGACAGAUGUUCACAUUUUUACACUUUUGUUUUGUUUUGAAUUUCGGUCAAGUACAUCGGCGGUCAAAGUGGAAUAAUGACGAUAUUUAGGCUGGAACGCCUUCUGCACGAUUAUCGGACGUGUUUGCAACCCAAGACCGUGAAACAGAUAACUAUCCUAAAUGAACAUGACAAAAACACGGUGCUAAACUGAUCGAACUGUUGGAGGAGCUUUCAUUUCCAAUACCAGAGGAACUGACUUUUUUCACAACAAGCAGCAUCUGCGAAUUAUAGGAAUCGGCUGGAUUAUGUACUCAACUUCAUUCUCGGAUUGGCCCAAGUCAAAAAGGGCAACAUUGCGACGCUCAGAGGUCUUUUUAUAGAAUACAUAACCAUCACGAUGACGUUUCUAACGGAAUUGCGCAUUCUGGAUACAAAUGAGCUUCAUCUGGAAGAUUUAUUAGGCCAAUUCUCGCAGUAUGAGAUAGGUUCAAUCACUGACGUGAAAAAGGAAUGUCGAGAGGAUGAAUUCAACGAGGAAGCCGCCAUUUGAUACGUCAUACGACAAGCAGGACUACCGGACGUGACUGAACUGAAGGAAUAGGAGGAAAAGGGGAACGAGUUGUUCAAUACCGGGAAACUCAGAGAGACACAGGCAGUAUACACAGAGGCAUUCGCGCUGGACCCUUUGAACAAGGAUAUCAACAGCAAAAUCUACUACAAUCAAGCGCAUGUCUAAUGCUGGCAUGAACACACGAUACGGUAGUGAAUAUGACAAUGAGGAUAUUGAACAGUCAGGUUGUUGAUUUUUUUUAGGUGAGGGGAAAAGUUCAGCAACCGAAAAACAUGUUUUAUUUUCAUACAUUGACCCACAGCACCACAGGAAGCAACAGUAAUUUCAAUUUCAAGAAACACAACGGAAAUUAAAUAGACUGUACUUGUAAAAGACAAAAUGAAAAAAACAACUAAUUAGAAACAACUGUCUCUAGUGUGAAUAA
This is a long non-coding RNA of Toxorhynchites rutilus septentrionalis, 1113 nucleotides long. RefSeq lists it as uncharacterized. The record is from RefSeq and is a predicted model, not a curated record. The transcript is spliced from 2 exons. Lineage: Eukaryota; Metazoa; Arthropoda; Insecta; Diptera; Culicidae.